RNAcentral lists this ribosomal RNA (200 nucleotides) under uncultured bacterium. RNAcentral's name for it is "partial 16S ribosomal RNA". It matches the Rfam family "Bacterial small subunit ribosomal RNA", at positions 524 to 723 of the family's 1533-position model. The record is from RNAcentral.
UACGUAGGGUGCGAGCGUUGUCCGGAAUUAUUGGGCGUAAAGGGCUCGUAGGCGGUUUGUCGCGUCGGGAGUGAAAACUCAGGGCUUAACCCUGAGCCUGCUUCCGAUACGGGCAGACUAGAGGUAUGCAGGGGAGAACGGAAUUCCUGGUGUAGCGGUGAAAUGCGCAGAUAUCAGGAGGAACACCGGUGGCGAAGGCG